AAAAGAGACAAAAGGUGAGUUUCCAUGCCUUGGGAAAAGAGGAACUUCAAGGGACCUGACCAAGCAAACCGUCAACAGUGUAGGGCCAACCCAGAGCCCAGGAUCCUGUGAACCUACAACUUUCUCCUUCUUCACAGACUGCUGAAAUCAGUAUUGGAAGCGGAUUCUGCUGAGACCUUGGCGGCAAGUGCUCUACCACUGAAUGUACCCUCAGCGCCAUACAAGGAAGGGAGAAAGCCUACACCAUGGCAGACUAAUAUGGCUGCACUGGGCUAGGACGUGGCAGUCAACGACAAUGCCAACAUUGUGUUGUGGUAAUGGCUACACAUCUCCGAGUAUCCCCCAUUCCUAUCAAUUCCCCGGGGAGAAAAUCAACUCCUCUUCCUCCUCCUCCUCCCCAUCCCCCCCCCCCCCCCCCCCCGUCCCAGUGUUGGUCUGAGAGUCUAGUGAUCCCGUGACUUAGGCUGGCUCUCAGGGGACGUUAGUUUGGCUUCACUUUUUACUGUUAGUCAUUAUUGGGUGUUCACUUCAGGACUCCUGGAAGAGUCCUCAUGUUAAACUUCCUAGGCUGUAUCUGGCCUUAGCUCCCUGUUUUGCUGUCAGGCCGCAGCUGGCUGGGGAAGGCUUGUUUGUUAUGGUUCGCCUGGGUUCCAAGUCUCCAGUGAUCAGCAGUCCUUUUAAAAAACAUCAUUUAUUGUUACUUUUGAGAGUUUCAUACAUGAGCACUGUAUUUAUGUACUUUCCACCCCAAACUCUUCCCUUCAGCUCCUCCCACAUCCCCACAUUCCCCUCAAUUUCAUGACCUCCUUUUUUAUCAUUAUUAUUACAUAUAGGUAUCAUAUGUAAAGUUUUACUUAUUUGUUUUAUGUAUAUACAUACUGUAGCUGUUCAGACACACACCAGAAGAGAGCACCAGAUCCUGUUACAGAUGGUUGUGAGCCACCAUGUGGCUGCUGAGAAUUGAACUCAGGACCUCUGGAAGAGCAUUUAGUGCUCUUAACCACUGAGCCAUCUCUCCAGCCCUGGUAUCAUAUGUAAAGACAGCCUGCUGAGUCCACUUAGAAUUUAAGCUACAAACAGUUCUCCCAGUACUAUGAGGCAGGAGGAGGGGAUAGUUUCCCUCUAGAGUCAGGCAUAAGACUCUGGAUGGUCCGAGGCCAGGGAUACCACCUGCCCAUUCUGCCCAGAGAACAGAGGCCAGAAGGAUGGCAGACCAAGCCAGGUUGUAGAAAAGUUCCAGACACUUCACCCUGGGGACACUUCACCCUGGGGACACUUCACCCUGGGGACACUUCACCCUGGGGACACUUCACCCUGGGAGACUAAGAGUAGACCAUAGCUGGAGCUGAGGCUCUGCAUACUGAGUAACAUCAGAGGAUGCAUGGGUUCCGGGAGAGCCUGGACACACAGAUGAAGGGCAGCUUGAAGCUCUGUCCUUGUCAGAGGUGGCUUCUCUGCAUUCAGCCCACCCCAGGCUGUAGGAGUCAGAGAGGCCCAACUCUGCUUAGCAAAGAGGCCAGUGUGGACCCUCUGGAAACUGCACAAGGAAAGGGCAGUUCUGGGGAUGAGGAAGAGAGGCCCUAAAGACAGAGCCUGAAAGGACCAGGCCCCACUGGGAAGGUUUGGGCCGUCUGUAAGGGCAAGAGGAGAUCAGCCUCUAGCAGCACAGGACAGGAGGAAAGUGCAUGGAGGGACUCAUGACUCCAGUACCCAAGGAUCAAAUGGGAGAAUCAUGGAGAAUCAUGGAGGAACCAGAUUCUGUGGCUAGCAGGUGUCAUCGAUGACCCAUGUCUCUGUCUACCUGGAGUCUCCACUGCCAUCUUAGAUGGGUCAGUAUUCUGCCCUUCCAGCUCCUAGAUGCUCAUCAGGAAUUCAGACCAUGCAGGCAGACCCUGACUUACCCUUCUCCAGAGUACUGCAAUUCCUUUGCCUGGACAGGCUGUGCUCAUGGGAGAAAAUUCUCACCUGGUAAGACAGUGGUUCUCAACCUACCCAAUGCCAUGGCCCUUUAAUACCUCAUGUUGUGGUGACUCCCACCAUAAAGCUAUUUUUUUUCUUAUUUCAUAUGGUCAUUAUUUCCUUCUUUUAUUAAUCAAGAUAAGACAUAAUGAAAAAUAUGUCUUAUUGUAUAUAGGGUAGUAUUCCUUGAAAACAAAUGUAGUUUGUAUCAAGAAAAUGAUGCUUUGAAAAAUUAGUCUAGAUUUUUAAAUAUAAUUUUUUCCAAAUGAAAAUUAAGAAAGCCAUGUAUGAUAAUCCAUACUUGUGUAUAUUCUACCUUGUUGCGAGCCGUCCAGCGGCUCACAUGGAUGGGGUACACUUGAGUGGCAGGCCGAUGCUGAAAAAAAGGGAAACUAGGUGAACGAGAGAGAAAUGGAGCCAAGACAAUAUUCUGAUCAAGGCUCAAAUGUUUAAUGGCGAAUGCACUUAUAAAAAGGGGGGGGGGAAGGAGGUCCAUUCCCACCAAUUCAUCCUUGGAGCCUGGAACCAGCUGCAGGUGAUGACGUGCAGGAUAGGGCAUAGUCUCCUGAAUAGCUUGGGGGGGGGGCUCUCAGCAGGUAGCAAUAUCUUGAAGAGGAACAGCAGCAGUGGCUGAACAAUAGAGUGAUCUAGGGAGGAAGGCUCCACCCUAGGUAAUCUCCUUAGUGGCAGCAAGGUCAA
This 2658-nucleotide long non-coding RNA is filed under the name Mus musculus (house mouse). RNAcentral describes it as "long non-coding RNA chr18:82774470-82777128". Lineage: Eukaryota; Metazoa; Chordata; Mammalia; Rodentia; Muridae. The record is from RNAcentral.